This 393-nucleotide long non-coding RNA is filed under the name Brassica napus (rape). Its description in RNAcentral is "long non-coding RNA (BNAP_LNC017822)". Lineage: Eukaryota; Viridiplantae; Streptophyta; Magnoliopsida; Brassicales; Brassicaceae. The record is from RNAcentral.
AGCCAAGUGGAAUUAGGUUCCUCGUUGGUUAUGGUCUCUGUCGGUAAUUCGACCAAGAAGUCCGCAAGCACUUGUGACUUCGCGCUUGUUCUUGGUCGGUACUCGAUAUCGUUUUCGCUAAGCUCUACCGCGCAUUUGGCUAAUCGGCCCGAUUGACUCGGGCUAUGCAGGAUCGUUCGUAGGGGAAAAGUCGUGAGGACGACGAUUGUGUGGGAUUGGAAAUAUGGUCUUAGUUUUCGGGCCGAUGUUACAACCGCGCAUGCUAAUUUUUUCAUCAGCGGGUAUCUAGAUUCGGCAUCCAGCAAUGUUUUACUGAUCUAGAAAAUAGGUUUAUGUUCGCCGCGUUCAUCCCUGAUUAGCACGCCGCUCACAGCUGUUGCUGAUACAGCGAUG